GAGAGUAUCCUCUCACCUCGUGUUUGGCGAACCAACAAAUUUGGGUCGAAUACUCUACCCUCGAAAACUGCUACGAUCCCAUGCGCUGGUGGGCCGUCAACAACAUUCUUCUAGUUUCGAUUGUCGGAGAGUGCUAGCAGCAUUCUUCUGGUGCCGUUGCAAGGGAAGGUCUGCUAUUAUGGAGUCAACAUUUUUUCUGGCGCCGUUGCCGGGGACGUAUUUCUAUAUUCUGUGAGUCACUUGGGAUUUAUAUCUGCUGAUCACUAUGAAGAAUGUGAAGGAUCCAAAAACCGAAGUCUUGCC
Molecule: long non-coding RNA, 303 nt
Filed under: Hordeum vulgare
Lineage: Eukaryota; Viridiplantae; Streptophyta; Magnoliopsida; Poales; Poaceae
Description: long non-coding RNA (HVUL_LNC011800)
Source: RNAcentral